Lynx canadensis (Canada lynx) is the source of this 134-nucleotide small nuclear RNA. Its record names the gene U4. It matches the Rfam family "U4 spliceosomal RNA". Rfam says of the family: U4 small nuclear RNA (U4 snRNA) is a component of the major U2-dependent spliceosome. The structure of U4 snRNA from yeast and human has been reported. Lineage: Eukaryota; Metazoa; Chordata; Mammalia; Carnivora; Felidae. The record is from Ensembl.
AGCUUUGCACAGUGGCAGCAUCAUAGCCAAUGAGGUUUGUCCAAGGCAUGAUUAUUGCUAAAAGAAAAUUUCCAGUGAGAUAUGUCCCUUGUUCCUCUCAUUUAUAUUCAGAAUCACUGAACAGCAUAAAAUGA